UGGCGGACGGGUGAGUAACGCGUGGGUAACCUGCCUCAUACAGGGGGGUAACAGUUGGAAACGACUGCUAAUACCGUAUAAGACCACAGCACCGCAUGGUGCAGGGGUAAAAACUCCGGUGGUACAGGAUGGACCCGCGUCUGAUUAGCUGGUUGGUGAGGUAACGGCUCACCAAGGCGACGAUCAGUAGCCGGCUUGAGAGAGUGAACGGCCACAUUGGGACUGAGGGACGGCCCAAACUCCUACGGGAGGCAGCAUG
RNAcentral lists this ribosomal RNA (259 nucleotides) under uncultured bacterium. RNAcentral's name for it is "partial 16S ribosomal RNA". It matches the Rfam family "Bacterial small subunit ribosomal RNA", at positions 96 to 353 of the family's 1533-position model. The record is from RNAcentral.